GACGAACGCUGGCGGCGUGCCUAACACAUGCAAGUCGAACGGAAAGGUCCUGAUUAUUUGGGGUGCUCGAGUGGCGAACUGGUGAGUAACACGUUAGUAAGCUGCCCUUGACUUUGGGUUAACUUAAGGACAGAGGGGCUAUUCCCGGUUAGGAUCUAUUGCUGUUUGGUGGGGGUGGGAAAGUUUCGGCGGUUGGGGAUGGACUCGCGGAUUAUCAGCUUGUUGGUGGGGUAGUGUGUUACCAAGGCUUUGACGGGUAGCCGGCCUGCGAGGGUGACCGGCCACAUUGGGACUGAGAUACGGCCCAGACUCCUACGGGAGGCAGCAGUGGGGAAUAUUGCACAAUGGGCGGAAGCCUGAUGCAGCAACGCCGCGUGCGGGAUGACGGCCUUCGGGUUGUAAACCGCUUUCGCCUGUGACGAAGCGUGAGUGACGGUAAUGGGUAAAGAAGCACCGGCUAACUACGUG
Molecule: ribosomal RNA, 468 nt
Filed under: uncultured bacterium
Lineage: Bacteria
Description: partial 16S ribosomal RNA
Rfam family: Bacterial small subunit ribosomal RNA
Source: RNAcentral